GUUCUGGGAGCCAGGACUCCUGGGUUCACUGGGAAUAGCCUGGGUACGCUGGGUACCGUCCAUUCACCUCUCCACCUCUUUCUCUCGGUGUUUUCCCCACAGGCUCUUCCCGCCGGCCCCAGGGGGGCGCUGUCCCACGACUCAGCUGGGGGCCCUCGGCGAUUCCGACGGGACCUGCGGGGGGCUCCCUACGAGGGGGAGACGGGGCUGGCCAACGAGAUCUACUACCCCCGGCUGGGGCCGCUGGCCCAGGACGAGCUGCUGGCCCAGGCGCUGGAGAGGCUGGGGGCUCCCCCUGCAGGCCGGUGGCGGGAGGACGAGCCAGGGGGCACCCCGUGGCUCCAGGAGGUGCCCCCCGGUGGCCGCUGGAGGCAGGAUGGGGCCCAGGCCGCCCUGGCUCUCCAGCGCCUCCUCCAGGAAUCGGUCCCCCUGGCCUCUCUCUUGCAGCUGUGGGACCAGGCUAGGGGGGCCUCAUACCCCGAUUACGAUGAGACUGGGGCAGAUGCCCCCCCCAGGACCCGGGCCCCGGCCCCACCCCAGCUGAGCCGUUACCGGACGGAUGGGGCCUACGAGAACCACCAGGACGAGCCGGGUGAUGAGGAGCCUGGGGAGAUGGAUGCAGAGAUGCUGAGGUACCUGGUGGGCCGGAUCCUCGCGGGGGGUGNNNNNNNNNNNNNNNNNNNNNNNNNNNNNNNNNNNNNNNNGUGAGAUGCGACCCCCCCGCCACCCCAGACGCCUGCGCCGGGGGCUGGAGGAAGAACCCCCCACCCUGCUGCGCGUGAAGCGGCUGGGGGGCGACGGGGAGGGCCCCGAGGCGGGAGCACCCCAGCUGCAGCGGGCCAAGAGGACGGAGGAAGAGGAGGAGGAGGCAGCUGUUGGGGGGCGGAGGGGGGCAUAUGGAGGGGAGCCCCUGCUGAGGUAUCUGCCUGAGUAAUGAGGACACCUCCCCCAGGGCCCAGUGAGUGCUAAUGCAGCGGGGGAGGGGCUUACGUCCCCCCUGCCCCGUCCAUCUCUGAAUGUAGCCAGCCUGUGGGCACGGAGGAGGGGCUGCCUUGCUCCUAGCCCCCCAGUCUCUGCCCCCCCAAUGACCCCUCCCUCUGCAGGCCGGCUUAUCUCUGGGCCCCAUGUCUCUCCCCCACAAGCCAACUGCCCCCCCCAUUAGGGUGACAGCUCGCCCCCGACAUGCUUCAAGACCCUUAUUCCCCACCCGGGCUCUGCCCCCCAGUGUCCCAGCUCUGAGCCCCUUAUUGUCCCCAGGGCUCUGGCCNNNNNNNNNNACCCUAGCUCUGCCCCCCACCCCCCUGGUUCCCCCUGCUUCCAUCAGUCCAUUCAGUAACGCCCUCCCCCCGUCUGUCCGUCUGGUGUUGAUUAAUUAACUAAUUAAAUAAAGGCUUGUCAGGUAUUUUGAUGUAAAGGCGG
This 1419-nucleotide long non-coding RNA is filed under the name Gopherus agassizii (Agassiz's desert tortoise). Its description in RNAcentral is "lncRNA (ENSGAGG00000004614.1)". Lineage: Eukaryota; Metazoa; Chordata; Testudines; Testudinidae. The record is from RNAcentral.